CUCUUAGCGUUGUUGCCUCCACCGUAGUGCGAAUAAUGAAAGAAUAUUGGAAGAAAAAAUGCAGGAUUUCUGUGCCACCCACUGGGUCGCGAGUGUGUUAUAAAAACUUCAUUACAAGUCCGGCGCAAUUAAUGAUUGUUAGAAUGUACCUCCGAUGAACGAGAGGGUGAGAUAAACUUCACUUCGAAGUGAGCAGAAAAAAAGUAUAAAUUAAAUUAAUUUGCAGAAUUUAUGAACUCGAUGAGUCCGUAGGAAAUUACAUAAAUUUUCAGAUAAUUAUAUCAGCACCCAUUUAAUUAUGCUUAGUUAAAAUUUUGUAUAACUGAAAAUUAGUUGAGUUAUAAACUACGCGAGGUAAUAAGUGGGAAAUUCUUUGUCAGCACUAUACGAAAUUCCAAGUUUCAUCCAGCAGACAGAAGAGUUCCUUGCACGCGAAGAAGUUCGCUGAAAAAUUCAGUGUCUAGUACAGGGUGGUAAAAAAGGAAAGUAGGGUCCAACGAGAGGGUGGUUAUCCCAACGUCUGGUUGUGUUUCGUCGUAAUUAGAGGUGGCCGUAAUCUCGAACAGCCGCGACGCCUAGUAAUUAUUUCAUUUGCUACUUCUUGAUUUGACAGUAAUUAACGAAGCCCGUUCGUCGACCAGGAAUUACCACGUCAGACGUCAAGUCAGCCCCAUCGAGUAACUCGCAUUCUUCCCCUUGUUUAACCUUCAUUGUGCCUGAUACCACGGUUCUGUUUAAUUAACGAUAUUUACCCCCGUGCCCCUCCACCCUUAUCUUCGUGUCUAUUCCACCCACCAUGAAAAUAGAAACCUUCCGAAUCUUCGUUGUUUUAGGAACUUUCUUUGGAAGAUUUUUUGGAAGAUUUAAGAAGGGUUGUAAAUAUUUUGGUAGUAGGGUGUUGAUAAAAUAAAAAUAAAAUUUGUUAGUUUGGAAAUAAAUUUUAUUGGUACCGUGUGCGGGUACUCGAAUCUCGGGUCUGACCGGGACGGGUAAUGAUCGAGUUGAGUUCGAGUCUCGACUUAAAAAUUUUUGUCCUAGACAAACUUUCAAAGUCCCACUCGAAUUUAAAGAAAUUCCCGACCCGACUUUUCGGGUACCCGCACGUCCCUAAUUCAUAGGAAUGAAUAAAAACAUAGAGGAAUUCAUGUCCGAAGUAUAGCGUUAAAGAACGCCAACUAUCGAAUUACACUCAGUAGGGUGGAAUGUGAUAAUUAUCCAGCGGAAAUGGAGCACAAAUUACAGUGGUCUAUUUGACGGACGUGGACCACGGGUGUACACGAAACUAAUGAGGACGAAGUUAUUCAGAAAAAGGCACGGAUUAAAGUCCUUUGCUUGUGACUGUAAAAACUGACAGAGAAAUUUCCAUAAAAGCUUGAAACGCGCGUUUCACCUGUUUUUACUAAUUCUGUAUCUCGAUAUUCCUUUAUGCUCCCCGUUGGCGGUAAAAUUUGCCACCCGUGCUUUUGAAAUUAAUGGAAAUUAUAAAUUGAUAGCAGAGUGGGUAUUAAAAAAUUCAUCAGAAAUAUUUCUCACCCGAAUUUUAUUUAAAAUUACAUUCUCUAACAGUUCUUCUUUAAAAAAUAACAUUAUAAAUGUAUAGUCAUGAUCGUGGAGAGAAAAUCUCCAAAAAUCUCGCCCUCCUCGUUAUUCAUUCAUGCAAUCCUCGGAUAAUCAGGUUACCACUUUCGAAGGGAGUCGAUUGCUCGAGCGUCCUCUCAACCUCGUCGAGGGUGAAUCGGUUCAUUGUGCAAUCGAUCCUGAUCAACGGUGGUCGUUUCUGAACAAUCAGCCCUGAAAAGAAGUCGUCGAAGGUUCUUGUGUGGUCUCGUUUUUCUUCGGUCUUCGAGGAUCUGGGUGAUUACGCUCUAGAACCAUCAUGACUCUACCCCGCGUUUCCUUGUUUCCACUAACACGCGUUGUCGCCUAUAAUCUCGAAGAGACACUUGGAAAAGUGUAUUUUUCAAUCGAAUCCAUUGGAACAUCUUGGAAAUGUUCAUAUUCUGCUAUUAUCUUUAUCAAAUUAUUACACAGUCACAAACAUCGUCGCACAAAAUGCACCCACAUCAGUUGCCCCUGCAAGGCUGUCGAACAACCGAAAAAUGGUUCAAAGGACCGAUCUGAACGGCAAACACUCGUCUCCGCGGCGUACAUGCCGGCCACGUAAAAUCAAGCAAUCGUUCGAAGCGAAGCGGCGAUUAAGCGAGCGCGCUGGUAAGAGACGGACAGGUUGAAAAAUAGAGGAAACGGAACGAAACAGGGUUAGUAAAGACACCACGGGUCCUCCGGCACGGGUUGCCGGUAUCGUGGAGGGAGGCGAGGACGCGAAAAGGUGGAGGAGGAGGUGUCGAGCGUAGAGUCCGCGGUGAGCUUUGGGGAUCGCGAGCACGCAGACUCGGGCAGUCUCGCGUGAUCUCGGCCCAGUCUGCUUCCCGAUUGGCGGGUGACGUAGUAGCGGGGCGGGAGGAGCAGGGGGGUAGCGUUUGAAAGGCGCGUAUACGCCGCGAUACGACCGGGCUGCGGCGACGGUGGCGGUGGAGGCCUACGCGGGCGUCGCGAGAGAGACGCUCCUCAGUUGUGUCAAGCUAGGCGAUCGAAUACUUUGUUUCCCUUUGAAUCCGCCCGCAACGCCGCCGCCGCCGCCGCCGUCGCCGAUCGCCCGUACACCGACUCUUGUUUACCCGCAUCCGUUUAUCUCUGUCAGCGGCGACGCGCGCGUGCCAGCCGCUACGGGAUCAGCCUCGCGGAAGGUCUCCAUCGGCCGCGUCUCCGGACAGCACAUGAUACGCGCCGCGUCGGGACCAGGGGGUAUCCGCAGCCUCGAAGUCACCUGGUUGCACGUUCGGGUGUGCCAGGGCUGUCCCGACGACUCUAGCCAGCCAUCCGCCAAUGGGCCGAACGCAUGCACCGGCUCCUUUGAAUCACUGUCUCACUGAUCCUGCCCCGUUCUUGCCUGUCGACGACGACCGUGUGUGUGUGUCUGUGUGUGUCGAACGCGACCAGUGAGACGACCAGUUGUCGGCUACCAAUCGAGAAAGUUUCGCCAGCCACCCUGAACUGCGAAACGGGUUCAAGGUCGCCCUCAUCGUCAUCGUAGCAGUCGUCGCAGCCGCACGGGUGAAAGCUAACUGCUGACCACCACCGGAGGAAUCCAGAGCAGGAGGAUCGCUGCGAAUCGUGGGACGCGGGCGAAAGAGAGAUAAAGGAAGGACGCGAGGCCGAGAUUCAAGAUUCUCAAAGAGAUUUAUAUAUAUACAGAAUUUAUUUUGUUGCCGCGGCGGGCCGCGAUUCAGAGACUCGCGAUACAGAGUCUCGUAAGUCGUUCGGACGUUAGAUGAUCCGAAAUCCGGGAGAUCCCUAGGUAAGACUGAGAGCGGACCUCAAAGAGAGCCCGAGUAGCGCUGAUAAAACUUGCGACAGUAUUCGUAACGCGCAAUCCUCCUCGUGUUUUAAUCCCCCUCCCCCUCGACCCUUUAGACGUAAACGAACUUGUUCGUAAGUAUUAGAAUAAUAAAAGUACGCUAUAAGUAUAUAAGAAGAGAUGGUCGCGCGUGAAUCAUGAGCGACCGAUCGAAUUAAAGAGAAUCGCGUCAAGACAAUCAAGCACAGUAGUGGGUUGGGCAUAAUCGAGAAACGAGAAGAAAGGAUAGAAGAUAAGAGAGAGGGAGAAGGAACACCGAGUUCUUUCCUCUCUUCGAGGAGAGGCAAAUUGAGAAAUAACGAGUUUCGUGUCUUCAUGUGAUCUCCAGCCUCUGUACCGAGUCUACGUGUGUACACGCUCUAUUAUUCUACAUAGAUACAUAUAUGUAUAUGUAUAUAUACAUACGAUAUAUAUAUUAUAUAUAUUUACACUUAUAUACAUACGUUUAUAUGUAUACACCCUUCGCACAUAUCCGAUCGUUGGGCCGAGCUAGAUGAUCGAUCUAGAAGGAAACUAGACCAGGCCCUGACGAACGUUUCUUCCCUGUGUGCUCCCUGAAACAAGGGAACGUUCUCUGUCAAUCUUUGUGACAAUCAUUUUCAGCUAGCUCUCUUAGUGUAUUCAGACUAAGUGUCUCUUUUUAAAAGUCGCGUUUUACCAAUCGACUCGAGUCUUGUCGAAAAGAAAGAAACAUUUUAGGAGAAGAUUAAAAAA
Molecule: non-coding RNA, 4132 nt
Organism: Osmia lignaria (orchard mason bee)
Lineage: Eukaryota; Metazoa; Arthropoda; Insecta; Hymenoptera; Megachilidae
Source: RefSeq, a predicted model, not a curated record